This 2648-nucleotide long non-coding RNA is filed under the name Haliotis rufescens (red abalone). RNAcentral's name for it is "uncharacterized LOC125375968". Lineage: Eukaryota; Metazoa; Mollusca; Gastropoda; Lepetellida; Haliotidae. The record is from RNAcentral.
CAACAGCAGCAGCAGCAGGCACUGAAACGAAGGAGACAUCCUUUUUGAAACCUGCAACACCUGCAACACCUGCAAAAAGACGAUCACGGAAGAAAUUGUCUCUGAAGAUCUCUCAUCAAGAACAACUGUAAGUACCAUGCUCUUCUUUGUCUCAGUCAUUCUUGAUGUGAUGAUGAUGUUGAUCUUCAUGAUGAAUAUGACUAUUCAUAUGAUUGACUCUGUCCUGUGAUUGACAGGACCCCUGAUGCCAGUUCAGCCAAGUCCGUGCUAGAACAGUGGUUGGAACAAAUCCCUCGGGAGCCAACCUAUUCACCGAAUGCACCUGUGACGAUGGCGACCGGUGACAGUGAUGAUCAUGAAGCGCUCAUGCUGGCCACUCUCCCUUCCAUGGAUCUGGACACGCUCCCCCUGCUUGAUGCUUCUUGGUCACCAGCAUCACCGGAAGAUGUUCAUGUCUUCUCCUCAGGUAUGCCCAUGGUUUGCAACGAUGACAACGUUGACCAGGAUCCUUAUGGAGAAGCUCAACUCACUUCUCUACAACGUGAAUGUAGUGAUUGCCGACACAACAACAUGUUAAGAUACAUAAGCUGCAACAGUGGCCAAGUGAUGUGCCAUGUCUGUUUCGGGGAGGUCAUAGACUGUACUUGUUUUACUAAUGGAUCUGUCACAUGUUUGGGACCUAUUUGGGACAGUAUGAUGGAGGGUCACAUCUUAUGGUGAUCUUCAUCUUCACUCGAAGAGCUUUACAACACAUAAGCUGCAACAGUGGUCAAGUGAUGUGUCAUGUCUGUUUCAGGGAGGUCAUAGACUGUACUUGUUUAACUGAUGGACCUCUCACAUGUUUGAUGGAGGACCACAUCUCAUGGGCUUGAAGAUAGAAGAGCUGGAAGAUGAAAGCUUAAGAGGAAACGUUGUCGCGUUAUUGUUGUUGUAGGGACAUGCAAAGCACUCCCUCCUCCAUUGUCUUUUCGUAUUUCCAAUGUAUCUGGUUGUGAUUGUUCAUUAUUAAACAGUGAUUGAUUGAACUGACUCUUUGUGUCUUGAUUGAUCUCAACUCCAAUAGAGUGCCGAACCGAGGGUAGAGGUUGAGUUGAGAUGUCGCCAUGCUUGAAAGAUCAGCUGCCUGGUGUCAGUCAUUCCAGUACACACCACCACUACCACCGUGUGUCAUGUCAUGUGUCAUGUCAUAUAUCAUGCCAUGUAUCAGUCAGCCCAAACACAGGAUGACGUCACGUGAUGAGGUGAAGGAGGAGGAGGAGGAGGUCAUGACCUUCCGUUGAAGGGGGGUAGGGAGGAGAGUUUCAUAAAAGCAGGCGAACCCUCAGACCUUCUUUCAGUGAAGUCACAGUCAUCAUGGAGCAAAGAGGGUCUAUGAAUGCCAUGUCAUCCUCCCGAGAUGUUGUCCCCGAUUCCGAGUGGGUGUCUGAAAAGGCGGGAGAACAAGAAGCGAGAAAACGUCCACUCUUUAUGGAGGACACCCUCUUUAUGGACGACACAUGGCGACUCAGGGACCUUUACCUUCUUACACCUUGUGUCUCCUUCUCAUCCUCACUAUGAUUCAUUUCAAGAACGUCUGAGGUCUUUUAAAACGUGGCCUAAACAGAUGACCCAGACCCCUUAUGACAUGGCCAUGGCUGGCUAUUUCUAUCCAGGACGAGAUGACCGUGGUACCUGUUAUUGCUGUGGUGUGACACUCCGCCAAUGGGAAGCAACAGACAAACCCUGGAAAGAACAUCUGAAGCACGCCAAAGUCCCCUGCGAAUACUUGUGUGUGUUUUGUCCUGAUGGAGAAGUGAACGAAAAAUACAGACGUUUGGUGUCCCAAGAAGCACGGAAGAGAAGAGUCGAGUGUCUUGUUCACCCCAAGUGACAAAGUUUUUUGUUUUUUUCAAAGUGUACAGACGUUCAUACCCUCGUGGUCAUCCUCGUGGUCUCCCUCGUGUUCACAAAAAUCACAGGGACGCCCCUAAUCCUGUGACUUUUGUUUUGUUGUGUUGGUUCAUGUGAGCGGGGGUUUAAAAAAUAAAGUUGAACCAAUAGUAGUGUUAUGUUGUCUGUAGGAUGAAGAAAAAACAAAACAAGAUCGAAAUGCACACCCUGAUAAAAACCGGAUCGAAAUGCACACCCUGAUAAAAACCAGAUCGAAAUCUGACCAAUCAGAGGCUUGGGUUGUCGGCCAAUCAGAGACCGUGCUCAGGUCAUGCUGGACUCUGAAUGGUCGAACAGGGGUUGUGCUUUUCCUCCCAUGGUAAAAUCCAUUUCCUACGGAAAAGAAACACAGGGGUCGGUCCGUUUUCGAAAACCGAGGUGCAGGCCAGGCACCGGAAUGAACCAAUCGGGGGCGCGGCCUGGGGAACCAAUCAGGAAGCAGGGUGUCAGUGGCUCUCCUAUAAAAACAAAAAAACAAGAGCGAGGUCACUCACACACUGCAUUCUAUGAAACCAACCAUGUCACCUCGAUACAGUUGUAUGAAGUGCCAGACUGACAGUCACAGUUACCUGUACUGCCCUGAAGUGACAUGUCUCGAGUGUCCCACUCAAGGUCACCGUCACUAUGUUUGUCCGAAGAUAAGCAGUCAAGAGAAGCAGAACCAGGGCCCAUGUUACAACUGUCAAGUCGUUGGUCAUUUUGCUGCAGAUUGCCCAGAA